RNAcentral lists this ribosomal RNA (750 nucleotides) under Triticum aestivum (bread wheat). RNAcentral describes it as "partial small subunit ribosomal RNA". Lineage: Eukaryota; Viridiplantae; Streptophyta; Magnoliopsida; Poales; Poaceae. The record is from RNAcentral.
AUGAUUAGUUAUGUUUGUCUAAAGCUAGUGUGUUUGCAUCAUGACAAUUCUACAGAAUUUUUGUUGUGUUGCCGUGCGAUGGCGCCGGCGGUGAAGGUGUACGGGUGGGCAAUGUCGCCGUUCGUGGCGCGCGCGCUGCUGUGCCUGGAGGAGGCCGGCGUCGACUACGAGCUCGUCCCCAUGAGCCGCGAGGCCGGCGACCACCGCCAGCCGGACUUCCUCGCCCGGAACCCCUUCGGCCAGGUCCCCGUUCUCGAGGACGGCGACCUCACCAUCUUCGAAUCGCGCGCUGUCGCGAGGCACGUGCUGCGCAACCACAAGCCGGAGCUGCUGGGCUCCGGCUCGCCGGAGUCGGCGGCGAUGGUGGACGUGUGGCUGGAGGUGGAGGCCCACCAGCACCAGACCCCGGCGGGCACCAUCGUGAUGCAGUGCAUCCUCACCCCGUUCCUCGGCUGCAAGCGCGACCAGGCCGCCAUCGACGAGAACGCGGCAAAGUUGACGAAGCUGUUCGACGUGUACGAGGCGCGGUUGUCGGCGUCGAGGUACCUCGCCGGGGACUCCCUCAGCCUCGCGGACCUCAGCCACUUCCCGCUCAUGCGCUACUUCAUGGACACCGAGUACGCGUCGCUGGUGGAGGAGCGCCCGCACGUGAAGGCGUGGUGGGAGGAGCUCAAGGUCAGGCCGGCGGCGAAGAGGGUGACGGAGUUCAUGCCGCCAAACUUCGGGUUCGGAAAGACGGCAGAGAAGUGA